ACGGUAUUACCUCUGGCGACCACCAGAGGACAAUAAUUCAAAUAUUGAUCGCCGAAUUGAAUGGAACGCACGGCCAUUUUCACCAAGCCGCAGUGGAACGCACGGAAGUGCGCCGAACCGGAAGUAAAGUCCGGAAAGAAAAUCUUACCGCAAAAAAAGAUUACAUGAAAUAGAAACAGCUGGGACACCUUUCAACUGUUGAUAGGAAGUCCAAUCAGAAGAGGAUUAUGCACCAACGCCCACCACACCACCAAUGGACUCCCAGCUUGAACAUAUUUAAGGGUUUGAGGGGGAGGGGGA
Molecule: non-coding RNA, 300 nt
Organism: Pelobates cultripes (western spadefoot toad)
Lineage: Eukaryota; Metazoa; Chordata; Amphibia; Anura; Pelobatidae
Source: the annotation of a GenBank genome assembly